CCGUCUCGAAAAAAAAAACAACGAAAAGGGGACUCACUUCGGAGAAGCUGCCCUCUCUGCAAACUUAUUUGAAGUAGGACUACUACUAGACUCUCAUUUGACCUCUCCUUUGGGAAUCGCAGGGUAUAUAGUGCCCACUGAUUGGUGGGAAUUUUGUCAAGGUGGGUGUGAUAAUCUGGCUUCUUUCCCUUCCCAGCUCUUUAUAGUCUUUCUUUCUUUUUUAUCGUUCUCUCCCUCUCUCUCUUUAGAGAUGUGGUCUUGCUAUGUUGCCCGGGCUGAGUGCAGUGACUAUUCACAGGCCGGAUCUAGUGCACUGCAGUCUUGAACUCCUGGCUUACAGUCCUGCUGGUUCUGAGAGGCAGGGGAAGAAACGGCCACCAUGCUCUGCAGCUAGG
Molecule: long non-coding RNA, 395 nt
Filed under: Homo sapiens (human)
Lineage: Eukaryota; Metazoa; Chordata; Mammalia; Primates; Hominidae
Description: non-protein coding lnc-TRPV2-4:1
Source: RNAcentral